GCUUUUAUAGUUUAACUUAAAAACAUUACACUGAAAAUGUAAAAAUAAUAAUUUAAAAGCA
RNAcentral lists this transfer RNA (61 nucleotides) under Amblyomma mixtum. Its description in RNAcentral is "tRNA-Phe". It matches the Rfam family "tRNA". From Rfam's summary of the family: Transfer RNA (tRNA) molecules are approximately 80 nucleotides in length. Their secondary structure includes four short double-helical elements and three loops (D, anti-codon, and T loops). Lineage: Eukaryota; Metazoa; Arthropoda; Arachnida; Ixodida; Ixodidae. The record is from RNAcentral.